This 112-nucleotide unclassified non-coding RNA is filed under the name soil metagenome. RNAcentral describes it as "partial internal transcribed spacer 1". The record is from RNAcentral.
GUGAAACGCCCUCACGGGCUUAUACUAUUCCAAAACCUCUGUGAAACCGUGCCCCUUCGGGGCUAUUUUACAAAACAUGGUGUAAUGAACGUCAUAUAUCAUAACAAAACAA